ACAUCUGAUGUCAGACACACACUGACUGCAGCUGUGUUCAUCUCCUCCACCCUCUGUCCUCUCUCCUCCACCCUCUGUCCUGUCCUCUCUCCUCCACCCUCUGUCCUCUCCUCCACCCUCUGUCCUCUCUCCUCCACCCUCUGUCCUCUCCUCCACCCUCCGUUCUGCCCCUCUCCUUCACCCUCUGUCCUCUCUCCUCCACCCUCUCCUCCACCCUCUGUCCUCUCUCCUCCACCCUCUCCUCCACCCUCUGUCCUCUCCUCCACCCUCUGUCCUCUCUCCUCCACCCUCUCCUCCACCCUCUGUCCUCUCCUCCACCCUCUGUCCUCUCUCCUCCACCCUCUCCUCCACCCUCUGUCCUCUCCUCCACCCUCUGUCCUCUCCUCCACCCUCUGUCCUCUCCUCCACCCUCUGUCCUCUCCUCCACCCUCUGUCCUCUCUCCUCCACCCUCUGUCCUCCUCCUCCACCCUCUGUCCUCUCCUCCACCCUCUGUCCUCUCCCCCUUCCUCCCACCCUCUGUCCUCUCUCCUCCACCCUCUGUCCUGCCCCUCUCCCCCUCCUCCACUCUCUAUCCUUUCCCUCUCCUCCACCCUCUGUCCUGUCAGCUCUCCUCCACCCUCUCCCUCUCCUCCACCCUCUAUCCUUUCCCUCUUCUCCAGCCUCUGUCCUGUCAGCUCUCCUCCACCCUCUCCCUCUCCUCCACCCUCUGUCCUGCCCCUCUCCUCCACCCUCUGUCCUGUUCCUCUCCUCCACCCUCUGUCCUGUUCCUCUCCUCCACCCUCUGUCCUCUCCUCCACCCUCUGCCCUGUCCCUCUUCUCCACCCUCUGUCCUGCUCCUCCACCCUCUCCUCCACCCUCUGUCCUGCUCCUCCACCCUCUCCUCCACCCCUCUGUCCUGCUCCUCUCCUCCACCCUCUGUCCUCUCCUCCACCCUCUCCUCCACCCUCUGUCCUGCUCCUCCUCCUCCACCCUCUGUCCCUGCUCCUCUCCUCCUCCCUCUGUCCUCUCCUCCACCCUCUCCUCCCCCUCUGUCCUGUUCCUCUCCUCCACCCUCUGUCCUCUCCCUCCACCCUCUUCUCCACCCUCUCCUCCACCCUCUGUCCUCCUCCUCCACCCUCUGUCCUGUUUCCCUCUCCUCCACCCUCUGUCUCUCCUCCACCCCUCUGCCCUGUCCUCUUCUCCACCCUCUGUCCUGCUCCUCCACCCUCUCCUCCACCCUCUGUCCUGCUCCUCCACCCUCUCCUCCACCCUCUGUCCUGCUCCUCUCCUCCACCCUCUGUCCUCUCCUCCACCCUCUCCUCCACCCUCUGUCCUGCUCCUCUCCUCCACCCUCUGUCCUCUCCUCCACCCUCUCCUCCACCCUCUGUCCUGCUCCUCUCCUCCACCCUCUGUCCUCUCCUCCACCCUCUCCUCCACCCUCUGUCCUGUUCCUCUCCUCCACCCUCUGUCCUCUCCCCCACCCUCUUCUCCACCCUCUCCUCCACCCUCUGUCCUCUCCUCCACCCUCUGUCCCUCUCCUCCACCCUCUGUCCUGUUCCUCUCCUCCACCCUCUGUCCCUCUCCUCCACCCUCUGUCCUCCACUCCACCCUCUUCUCCACCCUCUGUCCUGUCAGCUCACCUCCAACAACUGUUGUGGCCAGUUGCACAACAAAGCUCUCUCUCUCUCUCUUCUUCCCCCUCCUCUCUCUGGUUGAGGCCCCCGGCCGGCACGAGGAACGAGUUAAUUAAUAUUGGCUCUUGUUUGGUCGAGUUAAUGAAUGAGUGA
This is a long non-coding RNA of Sparus aurata (gilthead seabream), 1767 nucleotides long. Lineage: Eukaryota; Metazoa; Chordata; Actinopteri; Spariformes; Sparidae. The record is from Ensembl.